RNAcentral lists this ribosomal RNA (252 nucleotides) under uncultured bacterium. RNAcentral's name for it is "partial 16S ribosomal RNA". It matches the Rfam family "Bacterial small subunit ribosomal RNA", at positions 524 to 776 of the family's 1533-position model. The record is from RNAcentral.
UACGAAGGGGGCUAGCGUUGUUCGGAAUCACUGGGCGUAAAGCGCACGUAGGCGGAUUUUUAAGUCAGGGGUGAAAUCCUGGAGCUCAACUCCAGAACUGCCUUUGAUACUGAGGAUCUUGAGUUCGGGAGAGGUGAGUGGAACUGCGAGUGUAGAGGUGAAAUUCGUAGAUAUUCGCAAGAACACCAGUGGCGAAGGCGGCUCACUGGCCCGAUACUGACGCUGAGGCACGAAAGCGUGGGAGCAAACAGG